GGGGAGGUACCAAAGCGGUCAAAUGGGACGGAUUGUAAAUCCGUUGGCUCUGUCCUUCAGAGGUUCGAAUCCUCUUCUCCCCACCA
Molecule: transfer RNA, 86 nt
Filed under: Planctomycetota bacterium
Lineage: Bacteria; Pseudomonadati; Planctomycetota
Description: tRNA-Tyr
Rfam family: tRNA
About the family: Transfer RNA (tRNA) molecules are approximately 80 nucleotides in length. Their secondary structure includes four short double-helical elements and three loops (D, anti-codon, and T loops).
Source: RNAcentral